RNAcentral lists this long non-coding RNA (2972 nucleotides) under Pan troglodytes (chimpanzee). RNAcentral describes it as "lincRNA". Lineage: Eukaryota; Metazoa; Chordata; Mammalia; Primates; Hominidae. The record is from RNAcentral.
UGUCGGGUCCCAAAACACGUGGUCUAAAGUCUUUUGGGCUCCUGCCGCUGCCAGCACUGACGAUAUGCUCUUGACCCUGGUCGGGUGGGGGGAUGUCUGGAUACCUCCUCUGUGGAAAGAACUGGCCACACAUCCGCAGAGGUGACUCGGGCUGAGAACCCAGGCUCCUCCUCCCUUUGGUGACACGCCCCUCGGUCCCUCACUGGCACUUCUCCCUCCGGCCACACGGCGGCGUCUCGCCGUAGCGCAGCGGCCGAUGGUACAGCCCGCUCCCCCCUCGCGCUCUCGGACAGUGGGUCCUUCCACUUGUAGAAAAGCAUUGUGGGACGGAAACCUGUCCUUUCUUCCCUUUGGUGCGAGCUUGGUGUGGUUUUUGCUCUGGGUCCUCAGGUAUGGCGCCUGGCUGUGGCCGCGUGGUCUCUCACGCAGGGGCGCCGGGCGGGGGAACGCGGCCACCCUGAGUCUGGUGAGUCGACUGCAGCGGCCUGUGUCCGAAGUGUCCGGGGCCGUGAACAAGGGCAGCGGCCUGGCCUCAGGCCUGCGUCCCCACGUUUGGAAACGGGGAGCUUCGUGGAUUUGUGUUUACAUCGUCGACUAUGCCAGGGAGUUCUCCAGAUAAGCCUGGUUUUAUUUUCGUCAGUGAAAAGGCCUUACCGUAUAACUGACUUUAUGCUUGCCCUGCCCCCGUGUAAAAUAACUUAAAAGCAGCGUGCCUGGUUACAGCUGUUUCCACGUGCGGUGCUCGUCGGGAGUGAUCACCUACCCUACAGGUGGAAGAUGGAUGCCUGAAGUGUAGACUGCUGCUAGCUGAAUACCAUCUGGGAGCAUAAAGAUGACCUGAAGGAUGUCCUUGGUGAGGAUUUUGAAAAUUUGAUCUUCACAAGAGUUGCUUGGAUCAUUUGAAAUUUCUGGGAGUCUGAGGAGUACUGACAUAAUUGCCUGCUGGAGUCUGUAAAUACACAUUUAAGACAGUGAGGAUGUGAAUAAAUAUAUUAAUGCACUUUGGCAUUUGUGUUUUAAGUGAUUAACUGCCAGAAAUAGCUAUUUCUAAAAAGUUAUAAGGGAGGAGGGGUUCUUUUUUGAUCAGUAUUCACUGCUGUCACCAUAAUUAAUAGCCUUAAAAUAGCUUGUGUUUGGCCCAAAGAGAAAUGUACUUUCUUCCAGUGACUCAAAAAUCGUGGCUAGAACUAGACUGAUUUCUAGUGACAGGUGUGCUUUACUGCACUCAAUGCGUAUUUUUCCUCCAACUAAAUUGUACAUUUAAUGUUGCCAUAUCUUCUGCCUUUGCUUUGCAGGAAAUGACAAAUAAUGUAUAGAGGUAUUCAAAAAAUUUAUUGAAAGCACUGUACUAGGAGCUGAGAACACGAUGAUGAGCACAACACAGUUCUUCCCUUUGGAAACAUAGAUGAGUGGAGGGAAUGUCAUCACAAAUGUAAAACUUCACUAUGAGAUGAGUUCCGUGAUAGGAUUUUCUUAGGGAAACCUGAGAAAGAGUUGAGACUAAAGGUAUGUGUCAUAUUUUUCACAAGGCAAAACUGGGGGAAUGACAUAUACAGAGGCUUGGGCUAGAAAAAAGAUACCGUUAGUCCACUUACUUUUGAGACAGUUUUGGCUGCUUUCCCUCUUCAGUGCCUUGUUUUAGAACUGAGUCCUUACUGAGGCUUGUAAGAUGGCUAUUAUGGGAGGUGAGAGUGUUACAAAAUGAGGCUGAAGAGGUAGGUAAAGAAGCCAGACCACUUCAGGCUCCCUCUGGCUUUAUUAAAGCAAGAUAAAUCCAUGGUGGAAAAUCAGAUUUGCAAGAAAAGGUAGUUGAACUAGGUUGCUUAUUGUUGUCUAGACAAGAGACCAGCUUGGACUAGUAAAAUUAGUGAAAUAAGAUCGUUUAUAGUUGGAUGACAGAGCCAACUAGACGUGGUAAUAGUGGAGGUGUCCAUAACUGCUAGGUGUCCAGCUUGCACACUGAUGAGCAUAAUGACCCUAGAUUCAGCUGGGGAGCAGCAUUUAAACAGCUGAAUUUUUAAAUUACCUUUGAGAAAUCCAAGUGGUCUUUUUGCAGUAGCACAUUACUCAGUAGUCUAAACUACAGAAAUAAACCUUAAGGCCAUGGGUAUAAAUGAGAUCUGCUGGUGGUAGAGGAAGAGGGCCUAGGGUCUGAAGUUUGAGAAACUCCACUAAUUAAUGGCAAGGUAAAGCAUGAUAAGCCAGAAAGGAUGGUCAGUGGUAGGAGCAAAACAGGAUUAUAUUAAAGAAGCAAAAGAAUGUCCUAAAAAUUCUCCCUGGGAUUAAGUAACACAGUGAUUGAUAUUAGUGGAGUAGAGGGAAAGAUCCAUGUUAGAGAUAGCUUAAGAUAGGGAUUAGAUGAAUUGAGGGCAAUGAUUAAAGAUACUGCUUGCAAGAAAACUGGCUGAGAAUGAGAGGAAAAUCUUAGUUGCUUGCGGGGAGGGGGUUUGUGGUUGUGAAAGAUAGUUUUGUUUAAUCUUAGUCUUAAAUUUAAAACCAAGUAGCAAGGAUCUAGCUGAGAGAAUAAUUGAAUACAUUAAUAUAGGAGAAGGACAGACAAAGAUCCUGAAAAGGCUGGGAGAAGAGCAUCCAAAGCACAGGUGGAGAGACAAAAAGGUUAGGGCUGCUGGCAGCUGUGGAGAGAACUGUACGUGGUAAGGGGGAGAUAUAAGAUGUCCUGCAUAAGUAUUUUCCCUGUAGAUUGCAAAGUUAUCUAUGGAGAGGAAAGGUCCAAAAUAGUCACUGGGGAGAGCAGGUGAAUUAGAUGGCCAAGCAGGGUGGAUGGAUCAUUUGAGGUUUGGGGUGACAGAUCAACUGAGAUCCACUUAGACUUCUGAAAACGCAAGAACACUUUAGAAAUUAACAACACUUAAAGCUUUUUACAUCAUUUGUAAAUAACUGGUGGAACUUAACACCACAAAAUACAGUAUUAUAAAGAACUUUAUAGGAAUAAAAAUAUAUGCAGUCUGAAA